Molecule: ribosomal RNA, 460 nt
Filed under: uncultured Ferruginibacter sp.
Lineage: Bacteria; Pseudomonadati; Bacteroidota; Chitinophagia; Chitinophagales; Chitinophagaceae
Description: partial 16S ribosomal RNA
Source: RNAcentral
GACUACACGGGUAUCUAAGCCUGUUUGAUCCCCACGCUUUCGUGCCUCAGUGUCAAUAACCCCGUAGUGAGCUGCCUUCGCAAUUGGUGUUCUAUGUCAUAUCUAAGCAUUUCACCGCUACAUGACAUAUUCCGCUCACCUCCAGGAUAUUCAAGACAGAUAGUAUCAAUGGCAGUUUCCGAGUUAAGCUCGGAGAUUUCACCGCUGACUUACCUGCCCACCUACGCACCCUUUAAACCCAGUAAAUCCGGAUAACGCUUGCACCCUCCGUAUUACCGCGGCUGCUGGCACGGAGUUAGCCGGUGCUUAUUCCUCUGGUACCGUCAAGUGAGCUAGAAAGCCCUUUUUUCGUCCCAGAUAAAAGAAGUUUACAACCCAGAGGGCCGUCAUCCUUCACGCGGCAUGGCUGGUUCAGACUUGCGUCCAUUGACCAAUAUUCCUUACUGCAGCCCCCCGUAGG